Molecule: long non-coding RNA, 1603 nt
Filed under: Marmota monax (woodchuck)
Lineage: Eukaryota; Metazoa; Chordata; Mammalia; Rodentia; Sciuridae
Source: RNAcentral
GUUAAACUUGGGCUCCUAUUUAACCUAUCUGUGCCCUAUUUUCCAUAUCAGUAAAAUUAGGAAGACAAUGUAGUGCCUACCACAAAGAAUCCUUGUGAGGAUUAACUCGGUUUACCAACAUAAAAGAAGCAUCUUGUUACACAGAAAAGCAUUAAAUGUCAGUUAUCAGUAUUUAAAAACUUUUUAAGGGCAAAAACUGCAACUUUUACUACACCCAUGAUUGACUUUUGUGUGUAUGUGUGUGUGCUAGCAGGGUGGUGGGCACAUGGAAGGAGAUCAGAUGUGUUGGAGUUUUUGAUCCAGGAGCCACUUGAGCAAGUCAAGGUUUUCUGUGAACACUUAACAUCCUGCAUACCUGCUUGUGUUUUCUGAGCUGUUGGAUGAAAUAAAAACAAAGCAAAACAAACUUCCAAACCAGAAAGGUCCAGGCCCUAUGACUUGGUAAAUAGAGAUAUGUCGUGCCCAUUUCCAUGGUUUUGAAUGUCACCAAUAGUAAUCUACUGUGGAAAAUUGUGUAUAACAUUGUCAUCAUAUGAUUGGUUUUACUCAUACAUGGAUGUGCCGUUGGCUUAGGAGCCAGGCAGGUGGGUUCUGCACAAUGAGGAGCUUGUCAUAACAUAGAGAAGGCCAGAAAGGAUUCAAACAUUUGGUGGGCAUCUACUUCAGUGGCAUGUCAGAGCUGGCCCUGCCAGCUGAUUGUUAAAUUUUCAGGAUUUUUUGUGAGCUAGUUAUUAAGCAUCACCAUUAUAAAAAAUUAGAUUAUAUAAACUUAAAUAAAUUAUAUUAAAAAAUAAAGGUAAUAGAAUAUGUCACAAUGAAACCCACCAUUCUGUAUAAUUGAGAUGCACCAAUAAAAAACAAAGGUAUUAAAUAUUCAGUUACAUCCAGAUUGAGUAGGAAUACUCAACUAAUUAUCUUACAACUAUCUAUGCUCUUGAGAUUAUAUUUCCAUUUAUUGCACCAAUGUGGUGAAAAUAUUAUAUGAUGGGGUGCUAUUUCCAGUUGCUUGUGUUUAAUGAUGUCACAUGAUAGCUUGAAAUUGGCCAUGGUGGGAGUAUUUACAUCAAGAUUUUGGCAAACUUUUCUAAUCAGGGCUUUUAAUUCCUAGGUGGUUGAUUAUUAACUAUUUGCUGGCAUAUUACUGAUACUGCAUAUCAGGCAUGGAAGUUGAACUUUUUUAUUUGCAAGAAAAAAAGGCUCCAAAGUAUUACAACUGAAGUGAGGAAGGGCUCCUGGUAAGGGUACUUACUGAGAGAAAGGUGUGGAGGCUACCAGGGAGACUCAAGAACAGGCCUAUCCAGGGCUAUAUGGAGCAGAGGGGAGGGGCUGGAGGUUGUUCUGAAUCCAAGGACACUAUAGUGACCUUAGAACAGGGCCUUGGGCUCUCUGCUGUGGUUCAUUGCUAUUCUUAUGGUAUCUGCUUCUGUCUGUCCUGGUCCCAGCUGGUUUCCUUCCCCUCUGCUCUUCUGCAUUGUUUCUGUUAUAAUGUCUGCCUCCUUACAAUUUCUCAUGCCUUUGUCUUGUAUUGAUUAAUCAUAGCCAUUACUGUUUUCAUUAUUUGCUCCUGUUGAAGGUUGUAUUACUCUCUUUAUUUUUGUUGCUU